Molecule: long non-coding RNA, 891 nt
Organism: Saccostrea echinata
Lineage: Eukaryota; Metazoa; Mollusca; Bivalvia; Ostreida; Ostreidae
Exons: 4
Source: RefSeq, a predicted model, not a curated record
UGGGUCGGGUUAUUUAGCCAACCAAAAUGGCAGUACAGGCUCCGACCGAGGACUGAGGAAGCUUAGGAUGACUAAUAAGAAUGGUUGCGGCGAGUGUUUUGUUGUGGAAGUAUUAGAAGAAUGUGUAAGAAACAUACGGAGAAGUCUUCCUUGUUAAAGAUCAGCAACGGCAGAUAAACAAUGCAUGAUGCAAUCUGCUCACUAAAAAGAUUACACCAAUACAUGUACAUCCCAUGACAUGUAUUUCUACCUAUCACCUAUGUAACCUUUGUCAUGCUCUUCAGAGAGAUAAUCUGUAUAGAGUGGCACCUUAACCACCACUGGUGAAAUAGAAGAUGACUAGUGGAUGGUCAUCACUUUGCAGCUCACUUUCACUUUCUGCAGCCCAUCUCUUCUCAUUCACAAUCAUUGUCUUUGGAGGAAUGGUUGCAGUGCAGUCCUCAUGGCUGGGCAGGUCUACUGCAUGUUGACAGCUGAUACUUGUUCUCUAUUUACUCCAAGAGGCCUACUACAUAUUGUACGUCAGUUAUGACUGUACUCGUGCUGGCUUCUAUGAUGUUAAUUUCCUUUACCUGCACUGCGUUAAACUUGGUCAAUUCUGUUACUGUCGAACACCAACAGAUGAAAAUAAGAUUAAGCUGAUCCUGCCAACAUUGUGACAUAAGCGGUCCAAUGUCCAAUAUCUCACUCUGCAGUCAAACAUCAUUUUUUUUAUGAACGCUCAGUAAAACAUUGGAAAUGUUAGACUUUUUUAGUAUUGAUUUUUAUAGUUACAUAUUUUUAAAGUAAUAAUAAUUCUUUUUAUGCCCCCGGAUCAAAAGAUCCCAGGGGUAUAUUGUUUUUGUCCUGUCUGUCUGUUUGUCUGUUUAUCUGUUUGUCUGUUUGUCUGUC